CAUUGAUGGGAGAGACACCCCAUGGCUCAGAUUUAUGAAAAUAUGCAUCAGAUUUGAAAUCGCUUACCUGAAAUGAGUAUACCAUUAUAUCAGAGCUGUAAGUGAGAAACAUGUUAUUUUUCUUCUUUUACCAGUGAAACAAGUUUUUGUUUUUUUUUUCAGACAUAUCCUUGUAAUUUCUUUUUUUUGCAGUUCUUUCAAGUCAUUCUCUGGAAAAUUUCCUGAAAUUGCCAAGAAUCUGCCACUUUCAAUAAUAUCGACUCUGAAAGAGAGAGAGAGAGGCUAGGAGAGACCGUGGGGGACAGAAGUGUUGAUUGCUGCCCAUGGCCAUGCUGGUUUAUGAAGUGAGAUGGUCGGAAGCAGGACAGAAAUUGAAUAUACCAAUCAGGAAGGAGGAGCUAUUUAAUAGUAGCAACUUUGGAACACUGAAACUAACAGAAUGUCCUCAAGGAAGUUCAACUCAAUUGCCUUCCUCUGAAAAAGACGCUGAACUACGUGAUUGUUCGAUGGUCCUGGAAAGAAAUAUCUGUUUCAUUUGAAGUUUCCAUUUUACCUUUGAAACCUAGGUUUGAUGGUGUGAGAAAUGCUUGCCUUCCUUUCUUUCUCCCUGGUUGAGUUACAGAGAAUCAUUAGGUACUCAUUAGACUAAUGUGAAGGCAGAUAACACCGGUUAUGGAGCCCAUGACUCAUUUUUAAAUUUUACCAGUUCUCUUUCACUUACUGCCUAAAUUGCAGGCUUUCUUGUGACAGGUAGCUCUGAAAUAGUAGAUAUCAAAAUUUAUGACUUAAAAAAGUUAAGGUGCUUAUCUUUAGAAAAUUCCUGGUAUGAGCCAAUUACCAACCUCUUUACUUUCGUGUGUGUUUGUGUGUGUGCUCAGCCUCUUAGUUGU
Molecule: long non-coding RNA, 890 nt
Filed under: Bos indicus x Bos taurus (hybrid cattle)
Lineage: Eukaryota; Metazoa; Chordata; Mammalia; Artiodactyla; Bovidae
Description: lncRNA (ENSBIXG00000011270.1)
Source: RNAcentral